ACGGGAGGCAGCAGUAGGGAAUAUUGGGCAAUGGAGGCAACUCUGACCCAGCCAUGCCGCGUGAAGGAAGACGGCCCUAUGGGUUGUAAACUUCUUUUAUCGUAGAGUAAACCUGCCCACGUGUGGGCAGUUGAGAGUAUACGAGGAAUAAGUAUCGGCUAACUCCGUGCCAGCAGCCGCGGUAAUACGGGGGAUACGAGCGUUAUCCGGAUUUAUUGGGUUUAAAGGGUGCGCAGGCGGGCUGCUAAGUCUCCGGUGAAAUGUCAGGGCUCAACCUUGGCACUGCCGGAGAUACUGGCGGCCUUGAGAGUGGCGGAGGUAUCCGGAAUGUGUGGUGUAGCGGUGAAAUGCAUAGAUAUCACACAGAACACCGAUUGCGAAGGCAGGAUACCAUACCAUAUCUGACGCUCAGGCACGAAAGCGUGGGGAUCGAACAGGAUUAGAUACCCUGGUA
RNAcentral lists this ribosomal RNA (454 nucleotides) under uncultured Tenacibaculum sp. Its description in RNAcentral is "partial 16S ribosomal RNA". It matches the Rfam family "Bacterial small subunit ribosomal RNA", at positions 341 to 792 of the family's 1533-position model. Lineage: Bacteria; Pseudomonadati; Bacteroidota; Flavobacteriia; Flavobacteriales; Flavobacteriaceae. The record is from RNAcentral.